CUUGAUCGAGCCGAGCAGCAGCGGCUCGUGUCCCUCGCGGCCCUGCCCGUAGGUCGCCAGCAGGGCCUGCGCCUC
This is a non-coding RNA of Micromonospora aurantiaca ATCC 27029, 75 nucleotides long. It matches the Rfam family "ASpks TB sRNA". The record is from Rfam. NCBI's taxonomy places the organism in Bacteria, Bacillati, Actinomycetota, Actinomycetes, Micromonosporales, Micromonosporaceae.